UACGUAGGGUGCAAGCGUUGUCCGGAAUUAUUGGGCGUAAAGAGCUCGUAGGCGGUCUGUCGCGUCUGCUGUGAAAACUCAGGGCUUAACCCUGAGCUUGCAGUGGGUACGGGCAGACUAGAGUGCGGUAGGGGAGACUGGAAUUCCUGGUGUAGCGGUGAAAUGCGCAGAUAUCAGGAGGAACACCGGUGGCGAAGGCGGGUCUCUGGGCAUUAACUGACGCUGAGGAGCGAAAGCCAGGGGAGCGAACGGG
Molecule: ribosomal RNA, 253 nt
Filed under: uncultured bacterium
Lineage: Bacteria
Description: partial 16S ribosomal RNA
Rfam family: Bacterial small subunit ribosomal RNA
Source: RNAcentral